CCUACGGGAGGCUGCAGUGAGGAAUAUUGGUCAAUGGACGAGAGUCUGAACCAGCCAAGUAGCGUGAAGGAUGACUGCCCUAUGGGUUGUAAACUUCUUUUAUAUGGGAAUAAAAUGUUCCACGUGUGGGAUUUUGUAUGUACCAUAUGAAUAAGGAUCGGCUAACUCCGUGCCAGCAGCCGCGGUAAUACGGAGGAUCCGAGCGUUAUCCGGAUUUAUUGGGUUUAAAGGGAGCGCAGGUGGAUUGUUAAGUCAGUUGUGAAAGUUUGCGGCUCAACCGUAAAAUUGCAGUUAAAACUGGCAGUCUUGAGUACAGUAGAGGUGGGCGGAAUUCGUGGUGUAGCGGUGAAAUGCUUAGAUAUCACGAAGAACUCCGAUUGCGAAGGCAGUUCACUGGACUGCAACUGACACUGAGGCUCGAAAGUGUGGGUAUCAAACAGGAUUAGAUACCCGUGUAGUC
RNAcentral lists this ribosomal RNA (460 nucleotides) under uncultured bacterium. RNAcentral's name for it is "partial 16S ribosomal RNA". It matches the Rfam family "Bacterial small subunit ribosomal RNA", at positions 338 to 795 of the family's 1533-position model. The record is from RNAcentral.